GGGUACGUCCACCACGGGCCAUCUUCUCCAGUCCAGGCCCCGGCUGGAGAUAGGGCACCAGCCGCCAGGCUUCGGAGGCUGACGUGCGGGCAGGCCUCUCUCUGCUGGAAUCCAGGCCUUCCUGAGAUAUGGGCUCAGCCUCUGGUCCCUGUCGGUGGCGCCCAGGACCCACAGGUCUCCAUGCUGAGGACAGAGGGCUGGAGUCAGAACCUUGCCUCCUCCACUGAUGGCCGUCGUGACUUCAGGAGGCAGGACACGCAGUACCUGCCCUCCCCGGCCCUCUGAGGCCGAGAGAGGGAAACGCCUCCCGCAAAUCACCCCAAAGUCCCGCCCGCCCUUCUCCACAGCUGCGUCCUGCGCCCCGGGGUGAAGGGGCCUUGGUUCCUUUGGCCCCGCUCCCGCACGUGGGUGCCCUGGGGCUCGGGAUAUCCGGCGAUGGCAGGCAGCCGAGUGUGAACCCCCUCGUGUGGCUCGCGGACGACGGGAGGCGGCUCUUCAGCGUAAAGUCCCGGAAGCCAGGUGGCUGGUUUGGAGGCAGAAAGAGAGAGCACAAGCAGGGGGAACGGCAGGCAG
Long non-coding RNA from Mustela erminea (ermine), 573 nucleotides. RefSeq lists it as uncharacterized. NCBI's taxonomy places the organism in Eukaryota, Metazoa, Chordata, Mammalia, Carnivora, Mustelidae. The transcript has 3 exons. The record is from RefSeq and is a predicted model, not a curated record.